CAGCAGCCGCGGGAAAACCAGCAGCCCAAGUGGUGGUCGCGAUUACUGGGCGUAAAGCGUGCGCAGGCGGUUAUAUAAGUCAGAUGUGAAAUCCCCGGGCUCGACCUGGGAACUGCAUUUGAGACUGUAUGGCUAGAGUGUGUCAGAGGGGGGUAGAAUUCCACGUGUAGCAGUGAAAUGCGUAGAUAUGUGGAGGAAUACCGAUGGCGAAGGCAGCCCCCUGGGAUAACACUGACGCUCAUGCACGAAAGCGUGGGGAGCAAACAGGAUUAGAUACCCCGGUAGUCCCUGUCUCUUAUAA
Molecule: ribosomal RNA, 301 nt
Filed under: uncultured bacterium
Lineage: Bacteria
Description: partial 16S ribosomal RNA
Rfam family: Bacterial small subunit ribosomal RNA
Source: RNAcentral